AGUACGCGAUAGAGAAUUCUCGCGAGCUUAUAAAGGCACAGCCUUAAAGUAAACAUUUGAUGCACGAACUUUUUGAUUCAAAAUAGUAGAUGACGAUGAAUCCAUGGCUUUGAAAAAGAAAGUGCUGUCAGCCAAAAUUUUAACAUCUAAAUAUUCGGAAAAUGCGCCGUAAGUAAGCUUAAACUUGUAAGUUCCAUCUCCUUCAUCCUCAAUGAAAAAGUAAGUUUUGGCAAGAUCACCCUCCAUAGUACGGUAAUAAGGUCUUUCAUCACAACAUGUAACAACCCGCUUCAAAGUACUAUCGUAGUAGAAAAUUCCUUCAGAACCGGCGGGCGAAGGGUUCGAACUAGCAAUACCAAAUCCGUCAGAUUCCCGGUAAGUCAGGUAAGAAGGAGAGAUUGAAUCGUUUUCGACAAGAAUACGGAAUGCAUUACUGCUGGUACAUUUGCUAUUACAGCCAGGGAAUAAAGAAGGUACCACUUGUAAUACAGUACCAGUAGACGUACCCGAAGCUGUAGCCACGGUAGUAGCAUACGAACUAGAGCCCAAUGAAGUUGUAACAGUAACAUACCCAGCAGUAGGUUCAACGAUCAUUACAGUUCCCGAUACUGUACCCUGUACAGGAUAUGUGGUAGUAUAUCCAACUGAUCCAGAAACAACCGUUUCAGUAACAACACCAGCAGUCGGUUCAACAACCUCAACCGUUCCUGAAACAGUGUCAUGAGCCGGAUAUGUAGUAGUAUAUCCAACCGAUCCAGAAACAACCGUUUCAGUAACAACGCCAGCAGUAGGUUCAACAACCUCAACCGUUCCUGAAACAGUGUCAUGAGCCGGAUAUGUAGUAGUAUAUCCAACCGAUCCAGAAACAACCGUUUCAGUAACAACACCAGCAGUAGGUUCAACAACCUCAACCGUUCCUGAAACAGUGUCAUGAGCCGGAUAUGUAGUAGUAUAUCCAACUGAUCCAGAAACAACCGUUUCAGUAACAACACCAGCAGUAGGUUCAACAACCUCAACCGUUCCUGAAACAGUGUCAUGUGCGGGAUAUGUAGUAGUAUAUCCAACCGAUCCAGAAACAACCGUUUCAGUAACAACACCAGCAGUAGGUUCAACAACCUCAACCGUUCCUGAAACAGUGUCAUGUGCGGGAUAUGUAGUAGUAUAUCCAACCGAUCCAGAAACAACCGUUUCAGUAACAACACCAGCAGUAGGUUCAACAACCUCAACCGUUCCUGAAACAGUGUCAUGUGCGGGAUAUGUAGUAGUAUAUCCAACCGAUCCAGAAACAACCGUUUCAGUAACAACACCAGCAGUAGGUUCAACAACCUCAACCGUUCCUGAAACAGUGUCAUGUGCGGGAUAUGCAGUAGUAUAUCCAACCGAUCCAGAAACAACCGUUUCAGUAACAACACCAGCAGUAGGUUCAACAACCUCAACCGUUCCUGAAACAGUGUCAUGAGCCGGAUAUGUAGUAGUAUAUCCAACUGAUCCAGAAACAACCGUUUCAGUAACAACACCAGCAGUAGGUUCAACAAUGAUAUGUUCACCGCUGACUGUUCCACUAGCAGAAACUACACUAGUAAAAAACCUUGAACCAGACACUACAGUCAUAGUGUUCGUACCAGCGGUAGGCAAAACAACCUCUACAGUUCCACUCACAGUGCCACUAGCAUCCGUAGUAGUGGUAAAGAACUUUGAACCGGAAAUUUUAGUAACAGUACGGGUUCCGGCAGUAGGGAUUACUACCUCAACAGUACCACUAGUAGUUCCAUUGGCAGGGAAUGUGGAAGUAUACAAUUCAGAACCAGAAAUCUCGGUUUCA
This 1822-nucleotide long non-coding RNA is filed under the name Schizosaccharomyces pombe (fission yeast). Lineage: Eukaryota; Fungi; Ascomycota; Schizosaccharomycetes; Schizosaccharomycetales; Schizosaccharomycetaceae. The record is from RNAcentral.